GACGAACGCUGGCGGCGUGCUUAACACAUGCAAGUCGAACGGAAAGGCCCUGCUUUUGUGGGGUGCUCGAGUGGCGAACGGGUGAGUAACACGUGAGUAACCUGCCCUUGACUUUGGGAUAACUUCAGGAAACUGGGGCUAAUACCGGAUAGGAGCUCCUGCUGCAUGGUGGGGGUUGGAAAGUUUCGGCGGUUGGGGAUGGACUCGCGGCUUAUCAGCUUGUUGGGGGGGUAGUGGCUUACCAAGGCUUUGACGGGUAGCCGGCAUGAGAGGGUGACCGGCAACAUUGGGACUGAGAUACGGCCCAGACUCCUACGGGAGGCAGCAGUGGGGAAUAUUGCACAAUGGGCGGAAGCCUGAUGCAGAAACGCCGCGUGCGGGAUGACGGCCUUCGGGUUGUAAACCGCUUUCGCCUGUGACGAAGCGUGAGUGACGGUAAUGGGUAAAGAAGCACCGGCUAACUACGUG
This 468-nucleotide ribosomal RNA is filed under the name uncultured bacterium. RNAcentral describes it as "partial 16S ribosomal RNA". It matches the Rfam family "Bacterial small subunit ribosomal RNA", at positions 28 to 507 of the family's 1533-position model. The record is from RNAcentral.